CAAAGUGCACACACCGAUGUGAUAUUCAAUUAAAGGUUGUGGCUUUGUAUUUCGGUGACAAUGAUUUACUAUAAAAACUCAUGCGCACUUUGGAAAAGUUAUCAAACAGUCUUUACUUUCAUAAUAAAUUACAAGUGUUCGCUUGCGCAACAAACUCAAACGCAAAAAUGUUCAACCUCUACAAAGUGCUCGUCGUGUUCGCCGCUUUGGUGUGCAUUGCUGCUGCCUACCCAAGCAUCAUAGGACCAGCCAUCAUCCCCGCCCUUGGCCCAAGAGUCGUUGUCGGACCAGUCGGAGCUGUCGGCCCAGUUUUGGUGCCCGGUUUGGGUCAUGGUGGUCUUCUUGGUCAUGGUGGUGUAGUUCUUGGUUAAACCAUAACUAUUAGUUGGACUGCCAAUAUUCUCCACUGAACAGUUGCACAAUCUACACCCGCUUACCGUUAUUUUUUUCACCCAACUCAUCCACAAGUGUUCGUUGCAUUGCUGCGCUUUCCUCUAUCAACAAUAAAUAAUUUUUUGUAAAUCGUAUAUUUUUCUUUUAGUUUGCUUAAUUUGAAUAAAUAUGCAAUAAACCAAAAUCAA
This is a long non-coding RNA of Bactrocera neohumeralis, 581 nucleotides long. RefSeq lists it as uncharacterized. The transcript has 2 exons. The record is from RefSeq and is a predicted model, not a curated record. Lineage: Eukaryota; Metazoa; Arthropoda; Insecta; Diptera; Tephritidae.